Molecule: ribosomal RNA, 468 nt
Filed under: uncultured bacterium
Lineage: Bacteria
Description: partial 16S ribosomal RNA
Rfam family: Bacterial small subunit ribosomal RNA
Source: RNAcentral
GACGAACGCUGGCGGCGUGCUUAACACAUGCAAGUCGAACGGAAAGGCCCUGCUUUUGUGGGGUGCUCGAGUGGCGAACGGGUGAGUAACACGUGAGUAACCUGCCCUUGACUUUGGGAUAACUUCAGGAAACUGGGGCUAAUACCGGAUAGGAGCUCCUGCUGCAUGGUGGGGGUUGGAAAGUUUCGGCGGUUGGGGAUGGACUCGCGGCUUAUCAGCUUGUUGGUGGGGGAGUGGCUUACCAAGGCUUUGACGGGUAGCCGGCCUGAGAGGGUGACCGGCCACAUUGGGGCUGAGAUACGGCCCAGACUCCUACGGGGGGCAGCAGUGGGGAAUAUUGCACAAUGGGCGGAGGCCUGCUGAAGCAACGCCGCGUGCGGGAUGACGGCCUUCGGGUUGUAAACCGCUUUCGCCUGUGACGAAGCGUGAGUGACGGUAAUGGGUAAAGAAGCACCGGCUAACUACGUG